CCUUGCCAUGUAAACCCAAAACACACCCAUGAGAUAAAGUGGAAUUUUGCAUAGGAAGGGGAAAUCAAAAUAACUGAACUCUAUGAUCCACCAACAUGCUCCACUGCUAAAUAUUCAGUCUCUUAGGGUACUUUCUGGGCAUGUUCAGGUGGAAAAAUGUACUUGCACUUGCAUGUACAUGAAAUGGCAGGUUUAUGCUGAACCUUUGGUGUUCCAUCAAUGUGCCCCUCCAGGACAUUUAACAACCCCAAACAUAACUGGAAAAAACAGGAUGCUCAAACAUCUUAAGCUGCACCCAAGUGGGUAAAAGGAGUCCUAGCAUCUGAUUACUAUAUCUGGGAGAUGAAAGUAGUACUUUCAUUUUAGGCCAUUUUUGACCCAAGUGUGCGCCUACAGAGACACCAGUUUGAGAAAAUUUGAUGCAGCAGGUACAUGUUUUGAGUAAUUGGACUGCACAUGCUUUUGGAGAAAUAAAUGUAUGAGUUAAGAAGGUGUUGAAGGUGGCCUUACAGAACUGUUUGGCUCUGGACAUACUGUUAGUCAAAGAACAAUGUGUAUGUGGGGUGCUGAACAAUAGAGCUGAGAAUGCUGUGUUACUGGCAUGGAGGAAGCAUGCCCACCAGAAGAUUUGAUAAAUCACGUACAAACCAGGAGACCUGUUCCAGUCAAUGUUACCAGAUGAAUGGAAAAUGGAUUGGAACCUUGCCUCACGGAUCUUGACUCUGCUCAAAAAGCUCAGACUUCAGGGAUGGUGGAGUUGGAUAGUGGAAGCUCUGGUAAUGCUUUUGUUAAUAUUAAUCGGCCUAGUUAUCAGCUUUCUUAUAACAAGGUGCCUGAUUGACCACUUAUUCUCUCCUCUCUCUCCCUCACUACUGUGUGUUCAAAUCACCACUACUGAAGAGGACCUUGGAGUGUCUGAGCCAUGAGUAGUGUGGGGGAUGGCCUGAAGUGACUGCACUGGGAGCUGAGGUGGCCAUUGCCCCAGAAGCCAGAUGGGACAUGGGGAGGGGCCUGGUGUCACUCCUUUUGAUUUGCCCUAAAAGGUAUGGAAAAGUACUGGUGUCUCAGCCACUCCGAGAGCCGGGGCCAAGAAAUGGGGGCACUUACAGAUUUGCAGGGGAACUCAUUCUAUGCUCCUUACGCCUGUUGGCAGAUCCCACGCUGGAUCCAGGACUGGUGACCUUUCUCUCUUUCUCUCCUUUUCUCUCUCUUUCCUCUUUCUCUAUUUCUUCUUUCCUCAGAUCUAUCAAGUAAUGCUAGGCCUACCUUGUUUUCCCAUAAAGCUGCAUAGCUCAGUUGGAUAUAACUGUGUUGAGAGCACCAACAUUAACAGAACAUUUGUUCUCUGUGUUCUUAUGAAAGUUGAUGUUCACACAUGGACCUUGAGUGUUAUCUCACCGUAGUCCACAUGGAGGGGAGUUGUGAAUCUGAGUCACUCCUCCCACACCUUCGCAGGUGGGACAAUCAGCUGGCCAGGCCAGCCAGGCCUGAGCAAAGAGAGUUAUAAAUGAGAAAUAUGGAUGAAAGUGAACUUUGCCCUAUAAUAAAAUUCCGGUGUAUCAUUGUCUAUUCUGUGUACUCAGUUCACUGAAGCACCUGUAUUUUCAGCUUGUACCCGUUGCUGCUUGUCCUCUUGUCACGGGGCACCACUGAAAACCGUGGAUCUAGCCUCUUUGUGCCCUCCUUUCAGGUAUUUAGAGACAUGGGUAAGAUCCCCUCUGAGCCUCCUCUUCUCCAGGCUGAACAGUCCCAGCCCUCUCAGCCUUCCCUCACAAGACAGAUGGGAGUGCAUUUUUUCCCAGGCCUGGAGUCCUCUCCACUGAUUUCAUGCAGGCCCAGGCUGGGAGGCAGGACUGGAGGAGCCACUGCCUGCUGGGGUCUGAGCACUGGGGUAGGGGAGGCAGACGUGGCUCUGAUGUUCUCUGCCUGGGCCUGGGGCAGCCCUGGGCAGGGGACAAGGGGCUUGAUGGGGGCUAUGGCAGGAGCAGCAGGUGCCCAGGCCUCAGGGUGUGGUUCCUGUGCUGGGGACUCAUAUCAUCCUUCUUCCCCCACAGAGUGAGCAGAGGACCAUCUGGAGAAGCCCCAACACUUCUGGAAUUGGGUUUUGGAAGUGUUUGCUGCCAGAUCACUGUAUCUGUAAUGAAGCGCAGGGCCCCUGACAUGAGGAAGAAAGGUGAGAGUAAAGUGGUCCCAUAUCCCCCUUUGGCUGGGGGCUGGGCCAAGGGAGUUUCAGGAUGGUCUGUGUGUGCUCAGUGAUUGUGGCCUAUGCUCUUCCCUCUUCAGUGUGUGUGCUGUGCAACCGUGCUGAUGAAGACCCAGAUAUUUAUGGUCAAAAAAGUGAGAAUCGUGGUCUCUGCACUCAUGAGAAUUGCCUGUAUCUGGCCAGUGGGCUUUCUUCAAACCAAGCAAGAAGCAGUGAAGUGUACAACAUCCUCCCUGAGGAUAUCCAAAGGGUAGUGAAACAGGCAACCAGGAAGAUGUGCUAUGUCUGUGGCGAGAGGGGAGCCACCAUUACCUGCCAGCAGAAGAGGUGUAAACACAGCUUCCAUUACCCCUGAGGCUAUGAAAAUGGAUGCAUCUCCCAGUUCUUUGGGCAGUACAGGUAAAGGAUGAUGGUCCUCAUGCUGGGCCUACUCUGUCUCUGUCAUUCACCUCCUAGCACUGGCCAGGCAAACAAGGAACCUUCUUGUUAUGCCCUCUGGGACACCUUCAAGUGCCCUUCUUGAGCCAGAGCCAGGAUAUGGAGAGAUCAUAGAUGUCCCCUACGCUGCACUCUUUGUAUGGGAGCCAUGCAGGAUGGUCCACGUACAGCAAUGCCCUGCAAAUCCCUUGUUGUUAGCCCCCACAGAGAUGAUGAAGGGAAAUCCAUGGGGAGGGAACAGGGGCUUGCAUACAGUGCCCGCCAGCAGUUGGCCACUACAUCCAUUAUGGGUAAAAUUGUCGAGAACCAAGAAGGACUUGGCAGUUCCUGUCACUGCCUAUGUCUCCUUCUAUCUUCUACUCAGGUCCUUCUGCCAGGAGCACAGCCCAGCACAAACAGUGCUGGUGCAACAAGAUGGGGAAACCUCGUGCAUCAUUUGCCUGGAGCGUGCAGGAGACAAGCUCUCCUACCACACCAUGGUGUGCCCCAACUGCAGGCAGGCCUGGUUCCACCGGGGCUGCAUCCAGCAACAGGCUUUCCAUGCUGGGCUGCUUUGUUUCCGGUGCCCGCAGUGUAAUGACAGGGAGAAAUUCCUGCCAGAAAUGUUGUCCCUGGGGAUCCAAGUCCCCACCAGACAGCCAGCAUGGGAAGCAGACAGUGCUUCAUAGAUAUGUACCAAAGGCAUAGCCGCUGCAAUACCAGCUGGUGCCAUUAUGCCCAAGGAAGGGAGCAGGCAGAAGAAGAGGGGCCGUGGUACCUGCUGCUGUGCUCCUCCUGUGCUGCCGUGGGCACCCACCAACGCUGCUCUGCCUUGAAGGACAGCACAGUCACGUGGGAGUGUGACAGCUGUGCUGGCCUGGGCACUGCCUCCAGCAUGCAGUCGGAGCCAGCUUGUCCCAGCAGCACCAUCCUGCCAAUGUCAUCCCACAGCUCCCCAUCUCCUGAGACGUGUGGCCAGUCAGGUUGGCCAGGCCCAAGCAAAGAUCCGGCUGCUCACAGAUAAAGGAGAGGCAACAAACACCUGCGGGGAAGCCUGGUCCCAGUCCCGGUCCCAGCAUUUGCCCUGUCUCCUGUCCUGUACUCUUGACUUCCCCCUCCCUCCCGACCUGGGGUGCUGCCAUUUUGUACCUCCCAACCACCAUGCUCACAGCCUGCCCUGUAACUGGCCGGUAGCACCAACCGUCCCUUCAGGGUGCUGGGCAGUGCAGAAUAGGCCAUCCCUGCCCUCUGCAUGCCCACAGCAGCCAUUUCUGACAUACCCCAUGCGGGGUCGUGCUGUGCUGACACUGGCUGGCUGCUGUUGUUUGAAGCCAUCAUAGCCAGGUGACCCCUGAUCACCUUCUGCGUGGCUGUAAUUAUCUCUGCACCAGAAAGUGCCCCUACUUGUCAGAAUAUAUACAUCUUU
Cygnus olor (mute swan) is the source of this 4046-nucleotide RNA transcript. It is a transcript of the gene named PHD finger protein 7-like, with no coding region annotated. Lineage: Eukaryota; Metazoa; Chordata; Aves; Anseriformes; Anatidae. The transcript has 7 exons. The record is from RefSeq and is a predicted model, not a curated record.